AUUGAACGGUGGCGGAAUGCUUUACACAUGCAAGUCGAACGGUAGAGGGGGCAACCCCUUGAGAGUGGCGAACGGGUGAGUAAUAUAUCGGAACGUGCCCAGUCGUGGGGGAUAACGUAGUGAAAAUUACGCUAAUACCGCAUACGAUCUAAGGAUGAAAGCGGGGGAUCGCAAGACCUCGCGCGACUGGAGCGGCCGAUAUCAGAUUAGGUAGUUGGUAGGGUAAAGGCCUACCAAGCCAACGAUCUGUAGCUGGUCUGAGAGGACGACCAGCCACACUGGAACUGAGACACGGUCCAGACUCCUACGGGAGGCAGCAGUGGGGAAUUUUGGACAAUGGGCGAAAGCCUGAUCCAGCCAUUCCGCGUGCAGGAUGAAGGCCCUCGGGUUGUAAACUGCUUUUGUACAGAACGAAAAGGUCUCUAUUAAUACUAGGGGCUCAUGACGGUACUGUAAGAAUAAGCACCGGCUAACUACGUGCCAGCAGCCGCGGUAAUACGUAGGGUGCAAGCGUUAAUCGGAAUUACUGGGCGUAAAGCGUGCGCAGGCGGUUAUAUAAGUCAGAUGUGAAAUCCCCGGGCUCAACCUGGGAACUGCAUUUGAGACUGUAUAGCUAGAGUACGGUAGAGGGGGAUGGAAUUCCGCGUGUAGCAGUGAAAUGCGUAGAUAUGCGGAGGAACACCGAUGGCGAAGGCAAUCCCCC
RNAcentral lists this ribosomal RNA (703 nucleotides) under uncultured bacterium. RNAcentral's name for it is "bacterial SSU rRNA". It matches the Rfam family "Bacterial small subunit ribosomal RNA", at positions 28 to 730 of the family's 1533-position model. The record is from RNAcentral.